This is a small nucleolar RNA of Neltuma alba, 107 nucleotides long. The record is from RefSeq and is a predicted model, not a curated record. Lineage: Eukaryota; Viridiplantae; Streptophyta; Magnoliopsida; Fabales; Fabaceae.
AUAUGAUGAUGUGGACAUCCAAAAAGCAAGUCCUGAAAACGGUUCCAGUAGUCAUAAAGUGACUCAUCAUAGUCUUGCUUUGCAGAGUAGAUCUCUUUUCUCAAUGU